GCGCUUAGUGGCGAACGGGUGAGUAACACGUGGGCAAUCUGCCCUUCACUCUGGGACAAGCCCUGGAAACGGGGUCUAAUACCGGAUAUCACUCUUGCGGGCAUCUGUGAGAGUUGAAAGCUCCGGCGGUGAAGGAUGAGCCCGCGGCCUAUCAGCUUGUUGGUGAGGUAAUGGCUCACCAAGGCGACGACGGGUAGCCGGCCUGAGAGGGCGACCGGCCACACUGGGACUGAGACACGGCCCAGACUCCUACGGGAGGCAGCAGUGGGGAAUAUUGCACAAUGGGCGAAAGCCUGAUGCAGCGACGCCGCGUGAGGGAUGACGGCCUUCGGGUUGUAAACCUCUUUCAGCAGGGAAGAAGCGAAAGUGACGGUACCUGCAGAAGAAGCGCCGGCUAACUACGUGCCAGCAGCCGCGGUAAUACGUAGGGCGCAAGCGUUGUCCGGAAUUAUUGGGCGUAAAGAGCUCGUAGGCGGCUUGUCACGUCGGGUGUGAAAGCCCGGGGCUUAACCCCGGGUCUGCAUUCGAUACGGGCUAGCUAGAGUGUGGUAGGGGAGAUCGGAAUUCCUGGUGUAGCGGUGAAAUGCGCAGAUAUCAGAGGAACACCGGUGGCGAAGGCGGAUCUCUGGGCCAUUACUGACGCUGAGGAGCGAAAGCGUGGGGAGCGAACAGGAUUAGAUACCCUGGUAGUCCACGCCGUAAACGGUGGAACUAGGUGUUGGCGACAUUCCACGUCGUCGUGCGCAGCUAACGCAUUAAGUUCCCUCGCCUGGGGGAGUACGGCCGCAAGGCUAAAACUCAAAGGGAAUUG
RNAcentral lists this ribosomal RNA (811 nucleotides) under Streptomyces sp. RNAcentral's name for it is "bacterial SSU rRNA". It matches the Rfam family "Bacterial small subunit ribosomal RNA", at positions 88 to 912 of the family's 1533-position model. The record is from RNAcentral. Lineage: Bacteria; Bacillati; Actinomycetota; Actinomycetes; Kitasatosporales; Streptomycetaceae.